GACGAACGCUGGCGGCGUGCCUAACACAUGCAAGUCGAACGGUAAGGCUCCAGCUUGCUGGGGUACACGAGUGGCGAACGGGUGAGUAACACGUGGGUGACCUGCCCUGCACUUCGGGGGAAGCCUGGGGAACAGGGUCUAAUACCGGAUAGGAUCUUUGUGUGGAUACUGUGGUGGAAUGUUUUUGCGUUAUGGGAUGGGUCCGCGGCCUAUCAGCUUGUUGGUGGGGUAUUGGCCGACCAAGGCGGCGACGGGUAGCCGGCCUGGGAGGGUGGACGGCGACAUUAGGACUGCGAGACGCCGCAGACUCCAACGGGAGGCAGCGGUGGAGAAUAUUGCACAAUAGGCGGGAGCCUGAUACAGAGACGCCGCGUGGGGGAAGCCGUCCUUCGGGUUGUGAACUCCUGUCACCAUCACCGAAGAGUUUCUGACGGUAGAUGGAGAAAAAGCACCGGCUAACUACGUG
This 466-nucleotide ribosomal RNA is filed under the name uncultured bacterium. RNAcentral describes it as "partial 16S ribosomal RNA". It matches the Rfam family "Bacterial small subunit ribosomal RNA", at positions 28 to 507 of the family's 1533-position model. The record is from RNAcentral.